This 253-nucleotide ribosomal RNA is filed under the name uncultured bacterium. Its description in RNAcentral is "partial 16S ribosomal RNA". It matches the Rfam family "Bacterial small subunit ribosomal RNA", at positions 524 to 776 of the family's 1533-position model. The record is from RNAcentral.
UACAGAGGGUGCGAGCGUUAAUCGGAAUUACUGGGCGUAAAGGGUGCGUAGGCGGCGCGGAAAGUUGGGUGUGAAAUCCCUCGGCUCAACCGAGGAACUGCGCCCAAAACUACCGUGCUCGAGGAAGAUAGAGGUGAGCGGAACUUAGGGUGGAGCGGUGAAAUGCGUUGAUAUCCUAAGGAACACCGGUGGCGAAAGCGGCUCACUGGAUCUUUUCUGACGCUGAGGCACGAAAGCUAGGGUAGCGAACGGG